AGAUGGAUCAUUCACAUUGAAUAUACAAACAUUGUCACAUGCUUGCAGUUGCUUACACAAUUGCACGUCAUGUUUUUCUUGAGCCAAACGAACUUAAGGCAAUUGGUAAAUGUCGUGUGUCAAACGAACUGAAAGCAAUUGGUAAAUCACUCUAAUUAAAUAAUAUUAUUAAUUUCACGACUUUCAGCGAUGGAUGUCUCGGAUCUCGUAACGAUGAAGGACGCAGCUAGCUGCGAUACGCAGUGUGACUUGCAAACUUCUGAGAAUCAUUAGAUUUUUGAACGCAAAAGGCACUCUUAGGCUCUGCUUAGGAGUAUGUUCACUUCAGUGCUUUAUAUGUUUGUUGUCUUAAUUGGGAGACAACGUGGAUAGUUGCUAUUCUUAUGGCCGCUAAAAUCGAAUGGUCUUACCUCUUUGGUGAUCCCUUAGAGAGAUUGACCCAGUUGUUUUUCAAACAAGCCUGAAUUUGAACAAGGCUACCCGCUGAAUUUAAGCAUAUUAUUAAGCGGAGGAAAAGAAACUAACUAGGAUUCCCUUAGUAACGGCGAGUGAACAGGGAAGAGCUCAAACUGAAAAUCGGCAGUUUACUGUCGAAUUGUAGUCUCACGAAGUGCAGCCUGUGAUUGUUCUGGGUUAAGUCUCUUGGAAAAGAGUACCAGAGAGGGUGAGAGUCCCGUCUUUGCUCUGAGACAUUCACAUUCGGUGCAUUUUCAAAGAGUCGCGUUCCUUGAGAUUGGAGCGCUAAGUGGGUGAUAAAUUUCAUCUAAAGCUAAAUACUAACGAGAUUCCGAUAGCAUACAAGUACCGUGAGGGAAAGAUGAAAAGGACUUUGAAAAGAGAGUUAAAAGGAACUGAAAUCGCUGAAAGGGAAGAGGAGGGUCUCGACUGUCUAGCAAUUCUCUGUGUCUGUCUUUGCUUUUAGCAUUGGUUGGACGUUGGAGUUCUGCGGUGACUCUGGAAGUGGUUAUCGAAAUUGAGCAAAUCGUUGAUCGGCCCCUUAAGGGUGUCCGUUCUCUGCUGUUUUCAGUUCGUAUGAUCAGUCCACUAGUGCGACACGUAAGUGGUUGCAUUAUAGUAUCCCAGAGAUGUCGUUUCUCUCCUUCCCGUCUUGAAACACGGACCAAGGAGUCUAACUUAUAUGCGAGUACAAGGGUGUCAAACUCACGUGCGAAAUGAAAGUAAUUGUCAGGAAGGGCAACCUGCACUGGCGCCCGGCUACCAAGCUGAGGCUGAGCAUAUAGGUUAGGACCCGAAAGAUGGUGAACUAUGCCUGAGUAGGGUGAAGCCAGAGGAAACUCUGGUGGAGGCUCGUAGCGAUACUGACGUGCAAAUCGUUCGUCAAACUUGGGUAUAGGGGCGAAAGACUAAUCGAACCAUCUAGUAGCUGGUUCCCUC
This 1395-nucleotide unclassified non-coding RNA is filed under the name uncultured fungus. RNAcentral's name for it is "sequence contains 18S rRNA gene, ITS1, 5.8S rRNA gene, ITS2, 28S rRNA gene". The stretch from base 457 to 1395 matches the Rfam family "Eukaryotic large subunit ribosomal RNA", at positions 1 to 961 of the family's 3401-position model. Lineage: Eukaryota; Fungi. The record is from RNAcentral.